AGCCUGGAUUGAACGUGAAUAGGGGUUAGCUCUUGAUUUUUCAUUAAGAAACACACUGGCAGCUAAUGCAAUGGUUUUACAGCUGCAAUGUUCUCUCUCAAGAGUUUUUCUAGAGUCCAAUCCUGCUGAUGAGUUCUGCAUCUACUGAAGUUUAUGGACUAGGCAGAAAGAGAGCCCCACAUAGAAGAUUUCAACUUUAUCAGGGAUGUUUCCUGGAUUGUGAAGAAGAUGGACAUAACAGCAGCUUUCUUCCAGGCAUCGUCACUUGCUUGAGAGACCGAAGGAUAUACAAGUCACAGAAAAGCUCAGAGAUAUCAGCUGAAUGGGAACCUAAGAAAAUGUUCAAAAUCAACUCAUAUAAAGCAGAACUGCUGUUGUUCUUUUUAUUUCAGAGAUGGAGUCUUGCUUCCAGCUAUGUUUUCACUGAUUCCUCUACUUAUCUUCUACUGUCAACACUAUGAUUUAUAA
Candoia aspera is the source of this 468-nucleotide long non-coding RNA. RefSeq lists it as uncharacterized. The transcript is spliced from 2 exons. The record is from RefSeq and is a predicted model, not a curated record. Lineage: Eukaryota; Metazoa; Chordata; Lepidosauria; Squamata; Candoiidae.